GAGUUCCUGACCGCCUGGAUCGGUGUCGGGUGCGGUCGGACGGUCGGGGGCCGGACCAGCUUCAGCGGGAUUUCCAGCGUCCACCUCUGUGGCCGCUGGGAGGGCGAGAUCUCGGACCUGCGGACGCACGGCCCCCGCCCUUCCCCGCGUUCUCGGUGGAGGGGCGGGGACUGCGCCCUCCAUCUUGCCCUGGGUCCUCCAUUUUUGGGCAGGGCCAUGUGCUCGGCAGAGGCUUCUUCCCGGAAGAAGCCUCUGCUAACCACACCCAGGAUUUCUCUGGACUAACCAAUGAUAAUCAAGGGAAGUGCACACCAUCACUAUGACCACAUCCUGUGUAAUGAGACACCGACUCGCGCCUGGCCAAUUGGCGGGGCCCACAGUCCCCUCUCCCGCCCUUACUCCACCCCUCUAUAAAACUCCUGGUCCCAUCAGGCCUCUCCCUCUCUGCCACUUGCUGCUGCGUCAGUAAGGAGGGUAGGGGAGCCAAGCCCGGGUUUGAAAUAAAGGACUCUUUGCUUUUGCAUCGGACUGGCUGGCUCCCUGGUGGGCUCUUGGGAAUCUUGAAAUCUGGGCAUAACAGUUAGGUCUACAGGGCAUCUUUCUCUGUCCUGUCUGCCUCCACCACUGCCCUGAUCAGAACUUCAAGAGAACUUCAAUUAUGUCACAUGACUGAUAUUGUUAAGCAGAUUCCCACCAUGAGGAGAAAAAGGAAAAGGCAAGAUAAACCCCAGUGUAAGUAGCACCAAGAGCUUCUGACCCAGUGCUGUGAGACGGAUCCAGAGCAACUGUGUCCCCAGUGCAGGGUCUUAUCAGACCAUCAGGAUCAGCCCCUGAUACUCAUUAAGGAAGCUGCAGCUAGUCACAGGAAGAAGCUCAAAGGGUACAUUGUGCCCCUGAUGCUAUACCUUAAAGAUGCUGAAACAGUAUAUGAAAACCAAGUUGCAGAAACUUUGAAAGUGAAGACAAAGAUGGAAAACUGGUGGGAGGGAUUGGAUUAUGAAUGUAAAGAACUUAAGUGUUCCUUGGAAAUAGAGAGACAUUAAAUUAAUGGCAAUCUACUUUAUAGAAGAGAAGGAUGUUGAAAAAAACUAACUGAAAAUAAAAGGCAAAUUUUAUACUAUAUAUUCAGGCUAAACAAUCUGUUAAGUGAAAUAACAAAGAAGUAUUUGCAGACAGAUGUAGAUUUACUCACAGGUAUUGAAUGUGGAGAGCGGCUACAGCGUUUGGACAGGUUCAAACCUCAGACUGAUGAGAGGGCACAGUCCUCUUGUGGCAAAGCCACAUAAAUACAAGUCCCAGGGUGGAGGGCAAAGCCCUCCCAGCACAAUUAUAGCCAAAGGCUAUGGUUGUAUGUAAGCUUGACCUUAUAGUCUGACCUUGUAGUCCUAGGCAGCUGAGGGAUGUGGGCUGUGGGAGGUGCAGCAAGUGCUUCCAAAACAAAGCUUGAUAGAGUUCAGAGAAUUACAACAGGAAAGAAGUAGAUUUGAAACUCCCAAGAACAUUGCACCUACUGAUGAUGUGUUGUUGCCAUGGUAAUCCUGCUCAGUACGAGAGGAAGGGCAGGUUCAGACAUUUGGUGUAUGUGCAUGGCUGGGGAGCCAAUGGGGCAAAGCUACCAUCUGUGGAUUAUGACUAAACGCCUCUAAGUUAGAAUCCCGCCCCAGCGUAACUAUACGGCAGUGCUGAGGGCCUCCAAUGGCCUCGGAUAGCCGGUCCCCCGCUGUGCCUCGGGACCGGGGUCUGGUGCGGAGAGGCCUUCAUCCUGGGAAACGGGUUGCAGCCAGAAAGGGGACCGCCCCCUCACCCUUCACGCAACGCACAUUCGUGGGGAACCUAGUGCUAAACCGUUCAUACACGACCUGCUUCUAGGUCGGGGUUUCAUAUGAAGCAGAGCAGCUCCCUCGCUGCGAUCUAUUGAAAAUCAGCCCUUGACCCAAGGGUUUGU
Non-coding RNA from Myotis brandtii (Brandt's bat), 1945 nucleotides. NCBI's taxonomy places the organism in Eukaryota, Metazoa, Chordata, Mammalia, Chiroptera, Vespertilionidae. The record is from Rfam.